Molecule: ribosomal RNA, 407 nt
Filed under: uncultured bacterium
Lineage: Bacteria
Description: partial 16S ribosomal RNA
Rfam family: Bacterial small subunit ribosomal RNA
Source: RNAcentral
AUUGAACGCUGGCGGCAGGCCUAACACAUGCAAGUCGAGCGGAGCGGCGGACGGGCGGGUAAUUCCCAGGAAUCUGCCUGGCAGUGGGGGAUAACGUCCGGAAAGGGGCGCUAAUACCGCAUACUAUCAGAUGAGCCUAGGUCGGAUUAGCUAGUUGGUGGGGUAAAGGCCUACCAAGGCGACGAUCCGUAACUGGUCUGAGAGGAUGAUCAGCCACACUGGAACUGAGACACGGUCCAGACUCCUACGGGAGGCAGCAGUGGGGAAUAUUGGGCAAUGGGCGAAAGUCUGAUCCAGCCAUGCCGAGUGUGUGAAGAAGGUUUUCGGAUUGUAAAGCACUUUAAGUUGGGAAGCGGUAUCUAAACAGUAAGCAACGGCUAACUUCGUGCCAGCAGCCGCGGUAAUAC